Molecule: ribosomal RNA, 460 nt
Filed under: uncultured bacterium
Lineage: Bacteria
Description: partial 16S ribosomal RNA
Rfam family: Bacterial small subunit ribosomal RNA
Source: RNAcentral
CCUACGGGGUGCAGCAGUGAGGAAUAUUGGUCAAUGGGCGUAAGCCUGAACCAGCCAAGUCGCGUGAGGGAUGAAGGUUCUAUGGAUCGUAAACCUCUUUUAUAAGGGAAUAAAGUGUGGGACGUGUCCUGUUUUGUAUGUACCUUAUGAAUAAGGAUCGGUUAACUCCGUGCCAGCAGCCGCGGUAAUACGGAGGAUCCGAGCGUUAUCCGGAUUUAUUGGGUUUAAAGGGUGCGUAGGCGGCCUUUUAAGUCAGCGGUGAAAGUCUGUGGCUCAACCAUAGAAUUGCCGUUGAAACUGGGAGGCUUGAGUAUGUUUGAGGCAGGCGGAAUGCGUGGUGUAGCGGUGAAAUGCUUAGAUAUCACGCAGAACCCCGAGUGCGAAGGCAGCCUGCCAAGCCAUGACUGACGCUGAUGCACGAAAGCGUGGGGAUCAAACAGGAUUAGAUACCCUAGUAGUC